AGGAUAGAAUAGAAUAGAAUAGAAUUUGAGAUAAAAUAUCAACUAUUUCUUAUGUUAAAGCAUUUUUAUUCUGUUGUAUAGAGGAGUGAUGGUGUUGGACCAGAGGGAAAUAUAAUUUAAGGUGGAACCAGCACUCUGCAGCACUCAGUCUGUCUGUUCACUGACAGGUGACAGUUAGAGGCCUCCUUCAUUUCUUCCAAUGAGGAGACGGCUCUCUGCUCUGCAGCAGUUCCACAGUUUUCUACUCGGGGGAAUAAAGCACACAUCUGUAUACCUGCACCUUGAAAUGAUAUGGCAUUUUCAUACUAACUGUCACCUCAGCUGGGUUUGCUCCUUGCUGGCUCUCCUCCCAGAAUGACUGAAACCCAUCCCACUGAGUUGGAUUAUAACAUGUCAGUUGCUGACGUCAGCCGAUCGCUGCCCUGUGUUAUGAGCGCUUGUGCUGCAUAUUUAUUCAUCUUUGAAAUGCAUUUACCUGCAAAACAUUGUGAUGGUCUGAUCCUGAGGAGUCGGAUCACCUCCCAGCUGCAGAUGAAGACCGUGCAGCUAUGCCAGACAGGAAGCUCUACAUUUAUAUAUGACAGCUGUAGUUACAGAUGUAAUAAUACUUUACAUACAACACACACGAUUAGCUUAUAAAAUGUGAUGCACUGUUGUAGAUCACACCACCCAACAGUAUAUAAACUAGCUCCAUCUUGACCAACUGUAACAGUAAAAGGCAGCUUAUACAUUAACGCAUUCUAGUGUCAUAAUAAUACAAUAAUAUAGUGUAUAAUAUUAUAACAAGUUUUACUUAUAAUGGAGUACUUAAUAAUACAAUUUGGAUACUUUUACUUAACCAAAUGAUCUAAAAACUUCCUCCACCACAGGUUUUACGCUACUUGUACAAAAAAACACAAACUGUUGGAUCCUAUGAAUACUUCUAUUUCUAAUCAUUUUAAUUUAGUAAAAUAGGUACAAAUGUGACAUGAGAUCUCACUCUUCAAGCUCCACUGACUCUCCACCUUUCCUCUGUGAGCGUGCAGCUGUCUGGAGGCAGGAAUGUAAAGUGUUCUGUGUCUAUUCACUUCAUUUUUACUACCCCAGCAGGUCAGACCAUGCCUCACUUACACCAACAUCUCUGCUCCUUUCUGUUGAAAUAAAACACAAAUCUGUCAA
Sebastes umbrosus (honeycomb rockfish) is the source of this 1158-nucleotide long non-coding RNA. RefSeq lists it as uncharacterized. Lineage: Eukaryota; Metazoa; Chordata; Actinopteri; Perciformes; Sebastidae. The transcript has 2 exons. The record is from RefSeq and is a predicted model, not a curated record.